Neltuma alba is the source of this 149-nucleotide long non-coding RNA. RefSeq lists it as uncharacterized. Lineage: Eukaryota; Viridiplantae; Streptophyta; Magnoliopsida; Fabales; Fabaceae. The transcript has 3 exons. The record is from RefSeq and is a predicted model, not a curated record.
AAUUAGCGUCACUAUGUGAGCCCGUUAUACCCAUAAGACAAGUGAUUCCUUUCAUUUCUACCCUUUUUAAAUGUUUCUUCUUUAGGGGGUAUGAGGGCACAAUACCUAUGACAACAGUUAUGCUUGCUGAUACCACCUCCGCAACUGAU